GGGUCGGAGUUGGUGAUUGAAAUGUACUUUAGGCUGCUGAGCCUUUCAAGAUGCUCUGAAUUUGUCUUAGAUUAUGUCUACUUUGAGAAUUCCUCCAGCAAUCCGUACCUCAUCAGAAGGAUAGAAGAACUCAACAAGACUGCAACUGGCAACGUGGAAGCAAAAGUAGUGUGCUUUUAUAGACGACGAGAUAUUUCCAACACGCUUAUAAUGCUUGCAGACAAGCAUGCUAAAGAAAUUGAGGAAGAAUCUGAAACAACAGUUGAGGCCGACUUGACCGAUAAACAGAAACAUCAGUUGAAACAUAGGGAACUCUUUUUGUCACGCCAAUACGAAUCUCUGCCUGCAACACAUAUCAGGGGGAAAUGCAGUGUUGCUCUUCUGAAUGAGACAGAGUCAGUAUUGUCAUAUCUUGAUAAAGAGGAUACCUUUUUCUACUCAUUGGUCUAUGAUCCAUCAGUGAAAACACUGUUAGCUGACAAAGGUGAAAUCAGAGUGGGACCUAGAUAUCAAGCAGACAUUCCAGAAAUGCUCUUAGAAGGAGAAUCAGAUGAGAGGGAACAGUCAAAAUUGGAAGUGAAAGUUUGGGACCCAAAUAGCCCACUUACAGACCGGCAGAUUGACCAGUUUUUAGUUGUAGCACGUGCUGUUGGGACAUUCGCUCGAGCCCUUGAUUGCAGCAGUUCUGUAAGGCAGCCUAGUCUGCAUAUGAGUGCAGCUGCAGCUUCUCGAGACAUCACCCUGUUUCAUGCUAUGGAUACAUUGUAUAGGCACAGCUAUGAUUUAAGCAGCGCAAUUAGUGUCUUAGUACCACUCGGGGGACCUGUUUUAUGCAGAGAUGAAAUGGAAGAAUGGUCGGCUUCUGAAGCUAGUUUAUUUGAAGAGGCACUGGAAAAAUAUGGCAAAGACUUCAACGACAUACGUCAAGACUUUCUCCCUUGGAAAUCAUUGACUAGCAUCAUUGAAUAUUAUUACAUGUGGAAAACUACUGACAGAUAUGUGCAACAGAAGCGUCUAAAAGCAGCAGAAGCUGAGAGUAAGCUGAAACAAGUCUAUAUCCCAACUUACAGCAAACCAAAUCCCAACCAAAUAUCUGCCAGCAAUGGCAAACCUGGUGCCGUGAAUGGAGCCGUGGGAACCACAUUCCAACCACAGAACCCACUCCUCGGGCGAGCCUGUGAGAGCUGCUACGCUACACAGUCUCAUCAGUGGUAUUCUUGGGGCCCACCUAAUAUGCAGUGUAGGUUAUGUGCAACCUGUUGGCUCUAUUGGAAAAAAUACGGAGGCCUGAAAAUGCCCACCCAGUCGGAAGAGGAGAAGUUACCUCCCAGCCCAGCUACAGAGGACCCUCGAGUUAGAAGUCACAUGUCUCGCCAGGCCAUGCAGGGGAUGCCGGUCCGAAACACUGGGAGCCCAAAGUCUGCAGUGAAGACCCGUCAGGCUUUCUUCCUUCACACGACAUAUUUCACAAAAUUUGCUCGUCAGGUCUGCAAAAAUACCCUCCGGCUGCGGCAGGCAGCACGACGGCCGUUUGUUCCUAUUAAUUAUGCUGCCAUUAGGGCAGAAUAUGCAGACAGACACGCGGACCUAUCUGGAAGUCCACUGAAAAGCAAAAGCACUAGGAAACCUUUGGCAUGUAUCAUUGGGUAUUUAGAGAUCCACCCUUCAAAGAAACCUAAUGUAAUUCGAUCUACACCAAGCCUGCACACUCCAACUACCAAGCGGAUGCUAACCACCCCAAAUCACACGUCUCUGAGCAUUUUGGGGAAAAGAAACUACAGUCAUCACAAUGGCCUGGAUGAAAGGCUCAUGAAGUGAAGGCGCAGCUCUGCUCUAUCCUGCAGACCUUCCUCAGGAUGGCGGGAGGCUGUGAAGAACUCACAUGCUGCGUGUCAGACUGAGCGAUCCCUGUUUAAUCCUAUAAUCCAAGACUUGCUACACUGUCCUGCUGAUGCUCACAGCCAUGCCUGGGAAGGAGGCAACCCCAUUCCCAGUGCAUUUCAGUGGGAGACCUCCACGUGUGCCCCACGGAGACUCAAUGGGGCAGGGGAAGAGACUGCAGGAGUGCAUGUCCCAAAGCCGCGUCUCCUCGUGUGAAUCAGCGUCACCUCGCGUUCCUCUCAGAGACCUCGCUGCCCCGGGGGGGGGGACCCGCCUGGGGCAUCGAGGGGCUGGGGGAGCCACUCUGCAUCCCCGCUUCUCCGGCGCUCUGCACCCCAGGCACCCCGGCACCUGGGGCAGCGGGGCUGCUGCGGGCUCAGAGCCGCUGCUGCCCUGCACGUGCCGGUUCGGCUCUGUCGUCCGCUGUGUGAGUGUGUACACGAGGGACGCGGCAGCUUUCGGAAUGGAUUUUUCUUAAGAAAUGUGCCAGUGUGUAUGCAGGUCACGAUAUCCCCCCCAUCCCUGCUGUCACUGUCACGCAGCUUUCUCUCAGUAGGCUUCAUUCCCCAUUUUUCUUAAUGGGGAAAUGUUGUCCUUCACUCCCUGCAUCCUGUAUUUGACCCACCCACCCCAACCUCCACCUCUCCAAGGUACAGAAUUAUCUAUGGUUCUGACAAAACAUAAGAAAAUUGUCUUUGGGAAGCCUGUGCACUCUUUAUAUCACCUGUACUUUGUUGUCGGAGAGCGGCUGGCAUUCUGCGUGGUCCGUGCGGCUCCAGCAAGAGCUGAGCGUGUGUAUCCCUGUGACCAGCCGUCGUGUCCUGCCCCGUUCCUUCACAGCCAAGCCAGGCAACGAGCAGCUGCAGCCAGGCCGGUCCUUCUGUGAGUCUCAUUCACCCAGGUUGAUUUUAAGCAGAUGGAGUCUGUGGCCUAGAAGGGUGAAGUAAGAGAACUGUGUUUGCGGUGAAUCUGUGUGUAUGACAUUGUAAGCCUCCCACCUCGCCCCCACCUUCCAACCCAAACCUAUCUGUAAGCACCUGUGCCUAGGCCACGGGAGACCUGUCUGCGACCUGGUUUCCACUGUCUGCCCUGGGCCCCAGCCCUGCUGGCAUCACAGGCAGACUGCCCUGCGCUCUGUGUACACAGCCGCAGGGACAGGAAUAACUUAGCGCUCUGUCGGCUCCCCGGGCAGAUGUGAGUCAGCCACUCUCCUGCCUCUGUUUGCAGGGACAGGCUGCAGGGUACACAGUCACAGAGCAGCAUGAAGACAACUGGAGUCUGGCCUCCCAGCCUUCCCUGGAGUCUUCCGCUGGGAGACAGCUGGGUGGCUGAUAGAGGUGCCCCAGACGGCCAGGUGGUUGCAGGACAGAGUGGCUCCAGUUGAGCGGAACACCCCACCACCACCCAGGCAGAGUGAGGUAUCCCUAAAAUGACGAUGACACUCUAGAUGUCUAAUCCUCGGAGGGUGGGUUCAGCUCAGCAGAGAGGAUGUGACGUGUGAUGGCUGAGGGCAGCGCUCGGAGCGUCAGCUGCCUUUUCCUUCUCCAGUCUUGCAGUCAUCCUGGCUUCUCUUCCCAGGGGGGGCUGGUUCUCAUCUUAGGCUUUUGCAGGGUGACCUGGGGACAUUCUCAGCACUGCCAGCUCUUGGAGCUCUUCUUGGUCUUGGCUUGGGGCACGAUGGGUGGGCCUGUGUCAGAGGUGCUCAGUGAGCUGGGCAGGGUGGCAGGCAUUGCCCUCAGGGGCCCACAGAGAAGCUCUUUCUAAAAAGACCCAGGGAGAGAAGGCAACCGGCUCUCCCGUCACCUGCCACGUGCCACGUUCUCCUCGGAAGAAAAAGACACGGCAAAGCUAUGUCCCUUUGCCCUGCCCUGGGUUUGUUGUGCACAUGGACACAGAAGGUGGAAUGAUUCCCUCACCCUUUCCCUUUCCUCUCCUGACCCACAAGAGACAGGGACUCGUGGUUAAAAAAACAAUUAGCCGCCUGUGACUUUGCUGCCAGCUUGUUGGGGAGAGGCCCUCCUUCCCCAGGCCGGGGGAUUUGGAGUCCAGGGCCAGGCUGGGUCUGAAGAAAGAGCAGGGAGGCCCAACCCUGUUCCAGAUCACGUUUAGCUGUGGGACAGCUGCAGCUCAUCUUGAGCCACAUACACCCAGACAGCUCUUCCUUCACUGUGUAGUAAAAGCUCCUGGUUCUACGGGGAGGAUGCUAAGAUCUCUCACUCUCACUUCAUCUCUGGUAAGUCCCCCAGCAUCGGACCUCCAGGGAGAGGAGGAAGGAUGCCAAGGAGCCUCUCGUGUUUGCCUUCACUGCCUGAGAAGUUGGUGUGGAGAGAGUUUCCCAGUCGCCGCCUUUCUUGGGGCCACAGUGUCACUGUUGUGUCAGUGGCGUGUCACCACUGUGAGCAGUGAGCUUGUGGGGUGACACGCAAAGUCGGCUGCCCAGUUGCCAGCAGACGUGCCCGGUGGUGCUGUGCUGAGCCUGGUCUGUGCUCCCUUGGAUGAGGACGCAGAGCCCGUAGGUCAUCUUCCCUCUGCCCCGUUAUCACCCCCUUCACCCCCAGGAGGAGGACACACUGGUUUUUCGCUUGCCUCUCACAGUUGUACCUUGUCCCCAGCCCGGUUUCUAUCAGUCAGCCUCCAGCCAGGAAAACAGAACCAGUCUAUGUAUUUAAAACAGAACAGUUUUAAUUCAGAGGGAAUCGUUCAACACAGAAACAAGAAGAGCUGAGAUGCCAGACAGGGGAGUGAGGGGCAACCCGGAGAUGGGGAACCACAGCUGGUGGGAUACAUGGGAGAGGCCAUGUUCCCAGAUCUCUGGGGUCAGGGUCACUGGGCGGGCCUGGGAUGACAGAGGGAGGGCCUAUGUGGUGGGAGCUGGAGCCGUGGGGAGUCAUGGUGCCUGCUAGAAACAUUCCCCCCAGGGAAAGAGAGGGAGCAGAAAUAGCCUGGCUUCUCCCUUCCUCGUGCCCUCCAGGUUUGUGCAGCUGCCUCUUGUUAGCUAAACCCAGCUGGAAGCCAGCUGACCGGGGAGCUUGGGACAGGCAACCUGCAGCGGUCAGCCCCUCACCACCCGGAGCGGAGCAGAGCAGAGGAGGGCGGGGGCACAGGUCAGAGGGCAGGCAGGCCCAGUACCCGCAUGGCCUCGGUCCUCUCUCCGUCAUGUCCGAGCCUGGUGUCUAUGCCCCAUGCUGUGCUGAGACCCCGGUAGGGGCAGAUGGAGGAGCUGCCCUUUUGGGUUUGUGUAGAUUCUCUUUCAUUCCGCCUAGGGAGGAAAGUGCUCUGGGGAGGUGGGGGGAGGGACUUUAUUCUUAACAGUUGUCCCGGUUUUCCUGUGGGGGAAUUUACCCACUGAGCAGCCCCACCUCACCAUUCCCCUCAGGAAAGCUGUGUCCCAGUUUUCUGUCCACUCCUCCGCAUUCCUCUCUCCCUGAUCUCUGGUUUUCCCUGCCAGAGAACACCAACCCAGACCAUGCAUCAGUGGUCAUGAGUGUUUCCCCAGGAUAAUUCAUUAUACAGUGUGGACCGUCUGUCUGUAAGUAGAUACCAUCUACUAAUCAAUUUGUAUCCUGUUUCCAAUAAA
RNA transcript from Hippopotamus amphibius kiboko, 5458 nucleotides. It is a transcript of the gene named metastasis associated 1 family member 3, with no coding region annotated. The record is from RefSeq and is a predicted model, not a curated record. Lineage: Eukaryota; Metazoa; Chordata; Mammalia; Artiodactyla; Hippopotamidae. The transcript is spliced from 19 exons.